This is a long non-coding RNA of Mus musculus (house mouse), 952 nucleotides long. RefSeq annotates it as predicted gene, 34851. The record is from RefSeq and is a predicted model, not a curated record. NCBI's taxonomy places the organism in Eukaryota, Metazoa, Chordata, Mammalia, Rodentia, Muridae. The transcript has 2 exons.
GAAGAGACCAGCAUCACUGAGGUGAAAUCUUCUGGGAAGUAUUUUCUAAAAGCAGAAAGAAGCUGUGUUCUAGAAAUAGCCGGGGAUGUACCUCAUGCUGGAAGCCAGACUUGGUAAUGUAUAAGAAUCACCCAAGUGGUACUAGUUUUGAAGGCGUAAAGUGUUAUGGAGAGCAGCUUAGCUUGGCACUGUGAGAUGCCAGGGAAGGCCAUUGGUGAAAGUGCAGCUUGAGUUGCAGUUGAUGGCCCAGGCCUGAGGGAUCAUGCAAAGAAGUUAAGGUCAGGUACCUUAAAGGGAGCCUAUGAGAGGCUAUUGACGACGCCUAAUUGCAGUGAGAAAUCCCAGCGUAUUAGAGAUGCCAGCACCGCACCAUGGGAUGACCACCAGGAACAGCAGCAGCAGUGGAAUGGAGUCAACCAGAGCCUAGAGUGCUACAGAAGGCAGAGCUGGAGAAAUGACAGGUCCCUUUGGAGGAACCCCGAAAAUCGUGUGGAUCCCAGACAUUGAAACAAGAAACUAUAAACAUUGAAGUUGCUUUGGAGACCCUAAAAUAUUCCAGAGGCCAGAGUUAUGUGAUACCUGCAGUGGAAACCCUAAGACUCAGACUUCUGCAACUCUUCAACCUUCAGAAUUCUGAGAGAAGCCAGCACCAGCCAGCAGCUCAGGGGAGAGGGAGACCUAUUGCUUCCUGCUUAGCUGUGACUCUGUGAUGAGCUAUAAACUCACCUCAUACUGAAAAUGAACCAUAACAGUUCAUUUCUUACACAUCUACCACGGACCUUCACAAUAAGUAAAAGUAAAGGAAAUUUCUUCAGGUUGACUAUGGGAACUCAGUUCUGCAGUAAUAAAAAAGUACAGGGAGUGGAAAUGUGCUAGUUAAAUGUAAACAUCUUACUCGAAAACAUAUCUUCAGCAAAACAAAGUUUAUGUAUAAAGGGAUGUAUAAAAUGUA